GACAGAGGGUGCAAACGUUGUUCGGAAUUACUGGGCGUAAAGCGUGUGUAGGCGGUCCUACAAGUCAGGGGUGAAAGCCCCGGGCUCAACCCGGGAAGUGCACUUGAUACUGUUUGACUAGAGUACUGGAGAGGUUGGUGGAAUUCUCGGUGUAGAGGUGAAAUUCGUAGAUAUCGAGAGGAACACCUGUGGCGAAGGCGGCCAACUGGACAGAUACUGACGCUGAGACACGAAAGCGUGGGGAGCAAACAGG
This 253-nucleotide ribosomal RNA is filed under the name uncultured bacterium. RNAcentral's name for it is "partial 16S ribosomal RNA". It matches the Rfam family "Bacterial small subunit ribosomal RNA", at positions 524 to 776 of the family's 1533-position model. The record is from RNAcentral.